This is a non-coding RNA of Ceratotherium simum simum (southern white rhinoceros), 237 nucleotides long. Lineage: Eukaryota; Metazoa; Chordata; Mammalia; Perissodactyla; Rhinocerotidae. The record is from RefSeq and is a predicted model, not a curated record.
UCCCUGCUGAUGAAGAUGCUCUUCUGCCCCUGCCAGUCAUCACUUCACGUGCCCACUGGAUGCAGGCUUUGCCAUGAGUCUAGACUGGUAGUGGGCAUUGACUGCAAGAACAGGUCUCUCCGAGUAUGUCCCAUAUCUCUUGGCAGAGACAUCCAUUUAAAGGAAGCAGUCUGCUUGGCUUAUUCAUUUACUAGUAUUUAUCAUCUUUUGUAUUUGUUCCUUCUUUCACUGAACAAA